This 5093-nucleotide long non-coding RNA is filed under the name Mytilus galloprovincialis (Mediterranean mussel). Lineage: Eukaryota; Metazoa; Mollusca; Bivalvia; Mytilida; Mytilidae. The record is from RNAcentral.
CACACGAGAACGAAUAUGUCAAAUUAAAAAGGUAAUUUUUAGAUUUCAUUCGAUAUUUCCUAUAUCAAUUCUUUUUUCAUCUUUAGUUCUGGCGUUUUGUUUAUUUCCCUAUAUAUAUAUAAUAUUGCUAUGACAUACACUAGUGAAAUUUGUCAAAGUAUAUAUAUAUAUAUUUCUACUUUCGUUCUGCUGCAAGGUAUUUGUCUUUGUUUUAUCAGCAACCCUUAAAAUGUGGACGUUAAGCAACCAACAAUCAAUCCAUCAAUCUGGAUAUAUACACGGACAUACAUGUUUCAUCGAUAUCGGUCGUGCACAUAUUUGGAUAUAUCAUAUAUCCUUUUUUCCCGUUUAAUUCACAUACGAAUCAGUUGAAGUUCAACUACUGCAUGAAUUAGCGCAUGAGUAUCAUUUCAUGAAGAUAUAAAAUAAGGAAAAUACAGAUGCAUGCCCAAACGAAUGCUUUGUAUGCCUCACUUAGAUGCAUUAUGUUGUUCAUCCGUCCGUCCGUUCGUUCGAUCGUCUGUCCCGCUUCAGGUUAAAGUUUUUAUGCCCAUUUAUGGGCAUUAUGUUUUCUGUUCUGUGCGUCCGUCCGUCUGUUCGUUGGACUGUCUGCCCCGCUUCAGGUUAAAGUUUUCAGGUUAAAGUUUUUGGUCGAGGUAGUUUUUGAUGAAGUUGAAGUCCAAUCAACUUGAAACUUAAAACACAUGUUCCCUAUGAUAUGAUCUUUCUAAUUUUAAUGCCAACGUAGAGAUUUUCUCUCAUUUUCACGGUCCACUGAACAUAGAAAAUGAUAGUGCGGAUGGGCCAUCCGUGUACUGGGGGUCGACACAUUCUUGUUGGUUAAAGUUUUUGGUCAAGGUAGUUUUUGAUGAAGUUGAACUCCAAAUUAGAGUUUUGACCCAAAUAUAAGGUCUACUGAACAUAAUAAAUGGUGGUGCGAGUGAGGCACCCGUAGACUAUGAACAAAACCUUUUUUUGCUAUAUAUUCAUAUGUUGGUAUUUCUAUAAGAAGAACACGACAACACUGCACACUGAAGCAGGGCUCUGUCAUCACAUGCAAUGUGCUACAAUGAAAGCAUAUGUAUAGCCAUACUAGCUAUUCAAUGUAAUCGUUAAUUAACCUUUAUGAGAGGCCCAGAUAGUUUAACAAUAUUACAAGUAGUAUCAUGCCAGGCUAUAUUUUAUAGGUCCUUUAUGGUCAUAUAGCCCUUCAACUGUUAAGAAUAUUAUUAGAUCUUAGCUUUCAAAUAUUCGGCUGUAAGUGUGAAGGAAAGUAUCUCGGUCUCAUGAAAUUUAUAACGUGUUUUCAUUUUAUAUAGAAAUUGAAUUGAAGUUAGAUUUAUUUUAAUAAAAUCUAUUUCUGAACAAUAAAUUUUGUAUUUGUAUACAAUUAUAGCUUUCUACUUAUUCGGUCUUAACCUUCCUGUACCUCUAAUUGUCCAGACGGGAUUAAGAGAAUAGAAAAUGAACUUAGGUGUCAUGAUGUAAAUUUCUGUAAUUUAUUUCAUAACUUUUCAAUCAUGACUGUUUUGUGUUGUUACAAUCUUUCUCAAAAAUAAGUAAAAUAGAAUUUAAAAAGUCAAUGUCAUUAAGCUUAAUCAAUACUUGUAAAUAGACCAAAUUUGUCAAAUGUUUAUUUAAAAUUAGUGUAAUUUUAUAUUCGAGCAAUUCGAUAUUUGAUCUAAAAAGAGACAAUAAGAAAAUAUAGUCAGCAAGUAUAACCGAACCGUUAGAAUACGGAUGACCCCGUAUUGCUACAUUUAAGGACUUUCCAGCGGACUGUGCCCUUUUUAGCUCACCUGGCCCGAAGGGCCAAGUGAGUUUUUCUCAUCACUUUGCGUCCGUCGUCCGUCGUCGUCGUCGUCGUCGACUUAAUUUUGGACUCUCUCUAUUUAUCAGUUAAAUCAGUUUUCCACUUUUUAGCUCACCUAGCCCAAAGGGCCAAGUGAGCUUUUCUCAUCACUUUGCGUCCUGCGUCCGUCGUCGUCGUCCGGCGUUGUUAACUUUUACUAAAAUCUUCUCCUCUGAAACUACUGGGCUAAAUUAAACCAAACUUGGCCACAAUUAUCAUUGGGGUAUCUAGUUUUAAAAAUGUGUGAUGGGAUCCGGCCAACCAACCAAGAUGGCCGCCAUGGCUAAAAAUAGAACAUAAGGGUAAGAUGUAGAUUUUGACUUAUAACUCUGAAACCAAAGCAUUUAGAGCAAAUCUGACAUGGGGGUAAAAUUGUUUAUCAGGUCAAGAUCUAUCAGCCCUCAAAUUUUCAGACGAAUCGGACAACCGGUUGCUGCCCCUGAAUUGGCAAUUUUAAGGAAAUUAUAAUGUUUUUUGGCUAUUAUCUUGAAUAUUAUUAUAGAUAGAGAUAAACUGUAAACAGCAAUAAUGUUCAACAAAAUAAGAUCUACAAAUAAGUUAAUAUGACUAAAAUGGUCAGUUGACCCCUUAAGGAGUUGUUGCCCUUUAUAGUCAUUUUUUACCAAUUUUUCGUAAAUUUUUGUAAUCUUUUACAAAAAUCUUCUCCUCUAAAACUACUGGCCAAAAUUUAACCAUACUUGGCCAUAAUCAUCAUUGAGGUAUCUUGUUUAAAAAAAAUGUGUGCGGUGACCCUGCCAACCAACCAAGAUGGCAGCCAGGGCUCAAAAUAGAACAUAGGGGUAACAUGUAGAUUUUGGCUUAUAGCUCUGAAACCAAAGCAUUAAGAGCAAUUCAGACAUGGGGGUUAAAUUGUUUUGCAAGUCAAGAUCUAUCUGCCCUGAAAUUUUCAGAUGAAUCAGACAACCGGAUGUUGGGUUGCUGCCCCUGAAUUAGUAUUUUUUAGGAAAUUUUGCUGUUUUUGGUUAUUAUCUUGAAUAUUAUUAUAGAUAGAGAUAAACUAUAAAUAGCAAUAAUGUUUGGCAAAGUAAGAUCCACAAAUAAGUCAACAUGACCAAAAAGGUCAGUUGACCCUUAAGGAGUUAUUGCCCUUUAUAGUCCAUUUUUAAUAAUUUUGUAAAUUUUUGUAAAUUUUAAUAAAAUAUUUUCCUCUUUAACUAAUGGGCCAAGUCCAUUAUAAAUUGAGAUAAUUGUAAGAAGCAAGAAUGUUCAGUAAAGUAAGAUCUACAAACACAUCACCAUCACCAAAACACAAUGUCAUGAAUCCAUCUGUGUCCUUUGUUUAAUAUGCACAUAGACCAAGGUGAGCGACACAGGCUCUUAAGAUCCUCUAGUUAUAUUGUUUUAAACAACUACUGUUAAUUGUUAUUCUUUAUUGAUAUUUAUUUGCAGCUUUUUGUGUGAAAUGGCGACAUCCUCUCAAAACUGUGGUGUUUGUGACGCACGCCACAUCAACAAACCAUCUACAAUCUGGUGCACAGAAUGUGACGAGGGACUAUGUACAGAAUGCCAGGAACAUCACAGUUUGUCCAAAGGAACAAGAAACCAUAAAGUGAUACCAAUCAUUGAAUACAAGCAAUUACCAGCUGAUGUACUCAAGAUUAGUCAAAUCUGUAGCAAACACAAUCAAAAGUUUCAAAUCUAUUGCCAGAUGCAUGAAUGUCCCUGUUGCAGCAAGUGUGUUGUAGAAAGCCAUAACGAUUGCCAUGAUAUCGUUAAUUUAGAUGACGUCAUUCUUAAUUCAAAAACAUCGAAUGCCUUGUCCGAGAUAGAAGAUUCGUUAGUUGAAGUAGCAGAAAACAUUAAAAAAAUUCGUGAGAACCAACAGGAUAAUCUUUCAGCUUUGAAAGAGAGGAGAAAGGAAAUUGAAGAAGAAAUCGAGAAGACCAGAAUAAAGAUCAACAACCGUCUUGACAAGUUGCAAAAAGAUUUGAUAAAACAACUGAAUGCGUACAAAGAUAAAGAAAAAUCGAAAAUUCUUCAGUUACUAUCAUCAUUGGAAAAGAAGGAAAAGGAAGUUGCCGAUUGUCAGCGAAACAUUGGAAACAUCAAACAACACGGAACACACCUUCAGAUGUUUCUUUCAAUGAAGCCUAUAAAAGAGGACGUCUCUAGUAAAGAAAAGUUCCUGCACUCACUUUUCCAAGGUGAGGAUUUGAACCAGAAUUCUCUAGACUAUACAAUAAACGGUGCUAUUCAGAAUAUCAUGUCAAAUGUAACUAGUUUUGGAGAAGUAUAUAUUGAAGCUAAACCUUGCGAUCUUGUCCUGAGUAGAAAGAAUGCUAAACAAGCCCAGAUAAUGAUACCAACCGUUCAAGCAAGAUCCAUUGAAGAUAUACAGCUGCGUAUAAACAAGACAAUAAACACACAAGGACAACGCGUUUACGGAUGUUGCAUGCUGCUGGAUGGUAGAUUGGUAUUUACUUUCCGCGAUGAAAGGACAGUAAAAGUCUUCAGCAUGGAGGGAUCAAAAGAUUUUGAGAUGGAGAUACCGUGUGGAGUAUUUCAUAUAGUAAACAUCGGCGAUACCAAUACAUUGGUUGUUACAUCCGGGGAAUCAGAGAAGCAAUGUCUUACCAUUAUAGACCUGGAGAGGAAACUAAUCAAGAAAACAAUUUCACUGGCUUCGCAAAAUUAUGGCAUGGUAUUGAAAGACAAUCAGUUGAUUUAUUCCGCUUACAACAAAGGCAUACGAAUGAUAACUCUGUACGACGAGUCUUCGAGUGACAUAGUCCAAGAAGAGAUGGCCACUGAAGGUUACCUAGCAACAUUCAAAGACAACAUUUAUCAUACAAACAGACUAGCACACACUGUUACAUGUUAUAACCUUCAAGGUGGAAUACAAUGGACCUUUCAAAAUGAAAGCGUUCUGGAUAAUCCUCUAGGGGUCACUGUAGAUAAUGAUGGUUAUGUGUAUGUGGUGGGGUUUUGGAAGAACAAUCUUGUAGUUAUUUCCCCUGACGGACAACAACACAGAGAAGUGUUGACAGAAAGGGAUGGUCUUUAUAAUCCCGUCUCUCUUCAUUAUUGCGGAUUAAAGAAACAGUUACUAGUAGCCAACUGGAAUGACCAGGCUCACUUGUUUGAUUUUAUUUGAAUUAUUUAAAUUAGGAAAUUUCUCUCUUUUAAAUCAUAGCGAAAUGUUUCGAUAUCAAUUUAAUUUUAUGCACCUUUAUCGUUUGUUUUAUAAAUUGUAUAUUAAGUAUGAUUAACAGUUUAUUCG